Molecule: long non-coding RNA, 728 nt
Filed under: Salmo salar (Atlantic salmon)
Lineage: Eukaryota; Metazoa; Chordata; Actinopteri; Salmoniformes; Salmonidae
Description: lncRNA (ENSSSAG00000116371.1)
Source: RNAcentral
CCCUGAUGAAGGCACUUACUGUAACAAAGAAAAGAAAAAACAACACAAAGGUACUAACAUUGUACUUUUAAGCUAAUUGCAAGCCUGUAUUACCAGUAGGUCACUGAAGAAAGCACGUUACUUACCCAGUAAGUGUCGGUACUUGGAAGUAUGGCAAGACGGUACACUGUUUUUUCAGCACAGAUCAAAGUGGGGCAGCAGGUAGCCUAGCGGGGCGGCAGGUAGCCUAGUGGUAAGAGCGUUGGGCCAGUAACCGGAAGGUUGAUAGAUUGAAUCCCUGAGCUGCCAAGGUAAAAAUCUGUCGUUCUGCCCAUGAACAAGGCAGUUAACCCACUGUUCCUAGGCCGUCAAUGUAAAUAAGAAUUUGUUCUUUACUGACUUGCCUAGUUAAAUAAAACAUAAAAGCUGCAGGCUAAAUUUAAAUCUAGACUUUGUUUCCUCUAUUGUAAUCACUCCCCUUUCACCCCAGCUGCCGAACUAACCCCGAUUCAGAUGACCAUCCUACCCAUGCUAGAUUACGGAGACGUAAUUUAUAGAUCGGCAGCCCCUGUGUAACACUCGUCGUUGAAAGGGGACCAAAACGCAGCGGGAAACUUGAGGAGGCAGGUGAAGUGGAGGGCCGAAUGUAUCCCUGCCCCAGGGAUUCAGAGACAUAUGUUUCCAUAGCCGCCGUCUCUUCCUGUGACAGAGGAUACACAUGACUCGUGGGAAGUGCUGCGUCUACCAGG